CAUAUUGGACAAUGGGCGAAAGCCUGAUUCAGCCAUGCCGCGUGUGUGAAGAAGGNCUNNGGAUUNUNAAGCACUCUAAGUAGNNNNNCAGGGUUGUAGAUUAAUACUCUGCAAUUUUGACGUUACUGACAGAAUAAGCAUGGGCGAACUUCGUGCCUGCAGCCGCGGUAAUACGAAGGGUGCAAGCGUUAAUCGGAAUUACUGGGCGUAAAGCGCGCGUAAGUGGUGUGGUUAGUUAGAUGAGAAAGCCCCCGGCUCAACCCGGGAACUGCAUGCAAAACAGGCGAGGUCGGGAACAGGAGAAGGUUGGGGAAAUUCCUGUGGAGCGGUGAAAUGCGUAGGAAUAGGGAGGAACACCAGGGGCGAAGGCGACCACCUGGGCUGAAACUGACAAUGAGGUGCGAAAGCGGGGGGAGCAAACAGG
This 424-nucleotide ribosomal RNA is filed under the name uncultured bacterium. RNAcentral's name for it is "partial 16S ribosomal RNA". It matches the Rfam family "Bacterial small subunit ribosomal RNA", at positions 359 to 776 of the family's 1533-position model. The record is from RNAcentral.